RNAcentral lists this ribosomal RNA (488 nucleotides) under uncultured bacterium. RNAcentral describes it as "bacterial LSU rRNA". It matches the Rfam family "Bacterial large subunit ribosomal RNA", at positions 21 to 506 of the family's 2925-position model. The record is from RNAcentral.
AAGCGGUGAAUGCCUUGGUGCCAAGAGGCGAUGAAGGACGUGGUAAGCUGCGAUAAGUCACGGGGAGCUGCAAACAGGCUUUGAUCCGUGAAUUUCCGAAUGGGGAAACCCAUCCCGGUUUCCGGGAUGCCGCCGGAUGAAUUCAUAGUCCGUCGGCGCGAAACCCGCUGAAGUGAAACAUCUCAGUAAGCGGAGGAAAAGAAAACGAAGUGAUUCCGUAAGUAGUGGCGAGCGAAAGCGGAACAGCCUAAACCGGAAGGACUUGUCCUUUCGGGGUUGAGGGGACCUUGACGUGGGAGGCGUAAAGCGAGUCGAACGACUUGGAAGAGUCGGCCAGAGAGCGUGACAGCCGCUUAGACGAAGUAGAGCGCCCCCUAGAGGUAUCCCAAGUAGCGCGAUGCACGUGAAACUUUGCGCGAAUCCGUCCAGACCACUGGAUAAGGCUAAAAUAACUCCUUUGGCGAACCGAUAGUGAACUAGUACCGCGA